Molecule: ribosomal RNA, 217 nt
Filed under: uncultured bacterium
Lineage: Bacteria
Description: partial 16S ribosomal RNA
Rfam family: Bacterial small subunit ribosomal RNA
Source: RNAcentral
UGGGAACCUGCCCUGUGGUACGGAACAACUCCGGGAAACUGGAGCUAAUACCGUAUGCGUCCUUUGGGACAAAGAUUGCAUCGCCAUGGGAUGGGCCCGCGUAGGAUUAGCUAGUUGGCGGGGUAACGGCCCACCAAGGCUUCGAUCCUUAGCUGGUCUGAGAGGAUGAUCAGCCACACUGGGACUGAGACACGGCCCAGACUCCUACGGGAGGCAG